AUUGAACGCUGGCGGCAUGCCUUACACAUGCAAGUCGAACGGCAGCACGGGUGCUUGCACCUGGUGGCGAGUGGCGAACGGGUGAGUAAUACAUCGGAACAUGUCCUGUAGUGGGGGAUAGCCCGGCGAAAGCCGGAUUAAUACCGCAUACGAUCUACGGAUGAAAGCGGGGGACCUUCGGGCCUCGCGCUAUAGGGUUGGCCGAUGGCUGAUUAGCUAGUUGGUGGGGUAAAGGCCUACCAAGGCGACGAUCAGUAGCUGGUCUGAGAGGACGACCAGCCACACUGGGACUGAGACACGGCCCAGACUCCUACGGGAGGCAGCAGUAGGGAAUUUUGGACAAUGGGCGAAAGCCUGAUCCAGCAAUGCCGCGUGUGUGAAGAAGGCCUUCGGGUUGUAAAGCACUUUUGUCCGGAAAGAAAUCCUUGGCUCUAAUACAGGCGGGGGAUGACGGUACCGGAAGAAUAAGCACCGGCUAACUACGUG
This 486-nucleotide ribosomal RNA is filed under the name uncultured bacterium. RNAcentral describes it as "partial 16S ribosomal RNA". It matches the Rfam family "Bacterial small subunit ribosomal RNA", at positions 30 to 507 of the family's 1533-position model. The record is from RNAcentral.